GUGGGGAAUAUUGCACAAUGGGCGAAAGCCUGAUGCAGCGACGCCGCGUGAGCGAAGAAGUAUUUCGGUAUGUAAAGCUCUAUCAGCAGGGAAGAUAAUGACGGUACCUGACUAAGAAGCACCGGCUAAAUACGUGCCAGCAGCCGCGGUAAUACGUAUGGUGCAAGCGUUAUCCGGAUUUACUGGGUGUAAAGGGAGCGCAGGCGGUGCGGCAAGUCUGAUGUGAAAGCCCGGGGCUCAACCCCGGUACUGCAUUGGAAACUGUCGUACUAGAGUGUCGGAGGGGUAAGCGGAAUUCCUAGUGUAGCGGUGAAAUGCGUAGAUAUUAGGAGGAACACCAGUGGCGAAGGCGGCUUACUGGACGAUAACUGACGCUGAGGCUCGAAAGCGUGGGGAGCAAACAGGAUUAGAAACCCUAGUAGUCC
This 425-nucleotide ribosomal RNA is filed under the name uncultured bacterium. RNAcentral's name for it is "partial 16S ribosomal RNA". It matches the Rfam family "Bacterial small subunit ribosomal RNA", at positions 354 to 796 of the family's 1533-position model. The record is from RNAcentral.